RNAcentral lists this ribosomal RNA (253 nucleotides) under uncultured bacterium. Its description in RNAcentral is "partial 16S ribosomal RNA". It matches the Rfam family "Bacterial small subunit ribosomal RNA", at positions 524 to 776 of the family's 1533-position model. The record is from RNAcentral.
UACAGAGGUCCCAAGCGUUGUUCGGAUUCCUUGGGCGUAAAGGGUGCGUAGGUGGCGCCGUAAGUCAGGUGUGAAAUCUCGGGGCUUAACUCCGAAACUGCAUUUGAUACUGCGGUGCUUGAGGACUGGAGAGGAGGCUGGAAUUUACGGUGUAGCGGUGAAAUGCGUAGAUAUCGUGAGGAAGACCAGUGGCGAAGGCGGGUCUCUGGACAGUUCCUGACGCUGAGGCGCGAAAGCCAGGGGAGCAAACGGG